UGUUAAAGAUUUUAUCUAUUUGUACUAUUAAAAACUAACGCGACUGACAAAAUAACAAAUGAGUUACACAUGUCAUGCUAAGUGUACCUCAUGCUAACCAAUUUUUUUUAACGGUACAAAUAGAUGAAAUUUUUAACA
Non-coding RNA from Gossypium raimondii (Peruvian cotton), 138 nucleotides. Lineage: Eukaryota; Viridiplantae; Streptophyta; Magnoliopsida; Malvales; Malvaceae. The record is from Rfam.